UUCAACGCGUGCACAUAAUAAAGUUAUGAAAUAUCAUUUUUCUUAACGGAAGAAAUAUCUGUUAAAUGACAAAAUAUAUGCUUUUCCAUUGAAGUUCAUAAAAUUUUAUUCUUCUGUCAUUUUGUUUGUUCUGGCAUUCAAUAAUCACACUAAUAUUCAUAUAUUAAAUAAAAACAAAAUAAAAAUUCAAUGCGUGCACAUAAUAAAGUUAUGAAAUGUCAUUUUUCUUAACGGAAGAAAUAUCUAUUAAAUGACAAAAUAUAUGCUUUUCCAUUGAAGUUCAUAAAAUUUUCUUCUUCUGUCUUUUUGUUUGUUCUGGCAUUCAAUAAUCACACUAAUAUUCAUAUGUUAAAUAAAAACAAAAUAAAUAUUCAACGCGUGCACACAAUAAAGUUAUGAAAUAUCAUUUUUCUUAACGGAAGAAAUAUUUAUUAAAUGACAAAACAUUUUUUAACGUUUAUAAAGAUUUGGAAAGAUUUGCAUCUUAAACACCACAUGUCUAACUCGAAAUCAUCUGCCAAAAUACAUAUAUGUAUGUCUAACUCGAAAUAUAAUAUCAUCAAAAGCCACGAUAGAUCGCUGAAAUGUGCUACUCAAUCACAUGCCGCUAGCAUGGGGCAAAGAAAUCUGAUAACGCUGAUUUUGCAUAAUGCUAAAAGAUACUACUAAAUUCAGAAGGAUUCCAAAACUUCUAAGAAGAAGCAAAACAUCUGUAUGAAUCUUGUAUCAUGUUGGUAUUUCAGAAUCAUUUACGUUGGUCAGAAUAAGUACUCCAUGCCUAUGUAAUGUUUAUGUUAGGCAGUACAUACAUAGAAGGUAUAGAGUAAUGCUGCAGUGGUUUUAAUGCAGGUUAAAAUCUAUUGCCAUAGUUGACCUUGACUGACGAAGACACACACUAACAAAAAAAAUAAAAUAAAAUUCGCGGUUGUUAUAAGAUUGACUUGGUUGAUAUUA
Molecule: long non-coding RNA, 954 nt
Organism: Ziziphus jujuba (common jujube)
Lineage: Eukaryota; Viridiplantae; Streptophyta; Magnoliopsida; Rosales; Rhamnaceae
Exons: 2
Source: RefSeq, a predicted model, not a curated record